AUGCAAGCAGCCGUGCACGACGUCUGCUACGGCGUGAUCGGCGACAACCUCCCCGCGCGGCGCGACGUGGUGCGGCUCUGCAGGUCCAGCAACAUCCACGCCAUGCGCAUCUACUUCCCUGACCAGGAGGCCCUCGCCGUGCUACGCGGCAGUGGCAUCGCCCUCGUCCUCGACGUCGGUGGCGUCGACCAAGUCCGCGGCCUCGCCGCCGACCCCUUCCACGCCGCCGACUGGGUCCGGAGCAACGUUCAGGCUUACUACCCAGAUGUCCUCAUCCGCUACGUCAUCGUCGGAAACAAGAUCCGCCCGGGCGAUGCGGGGUUCAUCCUCCCAGCCAUGCGCAACGUUCGCGCCGCGCUCUCUGCCGCAAGCCUCGGCGACGCCAUCAAGGUGCCCACCGCGGUGCGGUUCCACGUGGUGGCCAACUCCUACCCGUCGUCCGCCGGCGUGUUCACGCGGCCCUACAUGACGGACGUUGCCCGGUUCCUGGUGAGCACCGGCGCGCCGCUGCUGGCCAAUGUGUACCACUACUUCGUGUACCGGGACAACCCGAGGGACAUUCGGCUGAACUACACGACGUUCCAGCCGGGCGCCACGGUGAGGGACCUCGGCAACGGGCUGGUCUACAUCAACCUCUUCGACGCAAUGGUGGACGCUGUCUACGCGGCGCUCGAGAGGGCCGCCGCGCCGGGCGUGAGGGUGGUGGUGUCGGAGAGCGGAUGGCCGUCGGCCGGCGGUUUCGCCGCCACCAUGGAGAACGCCAGGAGGUAUAACCAGGGGCUGCUCGACCAUGUCCGGUCCGGGACGCCGAGGCGGCCAGGCCCGAUCGAGACGUACGUGUUUGCCAUGUUCAACGAGAACAAGAAGCCCGGGGACGCCCGGCAGAAAAUCUUUAGGCAGUUCUACCCUGACAAGGAACCUGUGUACCCGGCCACCUUCCCCAAUUUGCAGUUGCCACGUGUCAAUCCAUGCAACCAGUGCACCCGGUCGGUCCUCUGUCUUUUUUUUAUUUUCUUUAUGAGUAGUGCGACUUGUUUAUGUUAUAGAUCUUGA
This 1053-nucleotide ribosomal RNA is filed under the name Triticum aestivum (bread wheat). RNAcentral describes it as "partial small subunit ribosomal RNA". Lineage: Eukaryota; Viridiplantae; Streptophyta; Magnoliopsida; Poales; Poaceae. The record is from RNAcentral.